This 359-nucleotide long non-coding RNA is filed under the name Brassica napus (rape). RNAcentral's name for it is "long non-coding RNA (BNAP_LNC009936)". The record is from RNAcentral. Lineage: Eukaryota; Viridiplantae; Streptophyta; Magnoliopsida; Brassicales; Brassicaceae.
CAAAGCAAUCGGUAGAUUCAUUAAGGGUGCUUAGGUAAAUUAACUAUCUAACAAUUUAGUUCUACUAUUUUCCAUUUUGAUUUUAGUUUGGGCUUGGUUAAACUAUCAUACUAUAAGCCCACGUUUCCUAACCGUAUUUGUAUGUUGAUAUUUUAACAAGUCUUCAAUCAUAAUUAUUAUUUUUGGUCCAAAUCAAACAACCACAAUAACCAAUCUAAACCGGGUAUAAUUUCACUGUCAUCAUACGAAACAUACACAUGUCAAAGCAUAGGAAAGCAACAAUAUUACAAUUUUGAUACAUGCGUGAAAACUAUUAAAAGUUACUGGGUGCUAAUCCAUAAAAGAUGAAUCUAAACCAC